GGAAUAUUGGACAAUGGGGGCAACCCUGAUCCAGCCAUGCCGCGUGAGUGAAGAAGGCCCUCGGGUUGCAAAGCUCUUUUGUCCGGAAAGAAAAGCUUCGGGUUAAUACCCCGGGGUUCUGACGGUACCGGAAGAAUAAGCACCGGCUAACUUCGUGCCAGCAGCCGCGGUAAUACGAAGGGUGCAAGCGUUACUCGGAAUUACUGGGCGUAAAGCGUGCGUAGGUGGUUGUUUAAGUCUGAUGUGAAAGCCCUGGGCUCAACCUGGGAAUGGCAUUGGAAACUGGGCAGCUAGAGUGCGGUAGAGGGUAGUGGAAUUCCCGGUGUAGCAGUGAAAUGCGUAGAGAUCGGGAGGAACAUCUGUGGCGAAGGCGACUGCCUGGACCAGCACUGACACUGAGGCACGAAAGCGUGGGGAGCAAACA
RNAcentral lists this ribosomal RNA (424 nucleotides) under uncultured bacterium. RNAcentral's name for it is "bacterial SSU rRNA". It matches the Rfam family "Bacterial small subunit ribosomal RNA", at positions 358 to 774 of the family's 1533-position model. The record is from RNAcentral.